AACGCACCUUGCGCUCCUUGGUAUUCCGAGGAGCAUGCCUGUUUGAGUGUCAUCGAAACAUCAGAUCGAAGCUUUCGACCUCGUCGGAGCUCGGUUUGGACUUAUGGGAGUCUGCGGGCGAACCUCCCGUCGGGGGGACGUCGGCUCUCCUCAAAAGCAUUAGCGUUGGGUGCGAGCCUCGCGUGGCACGGCCUCUUCGACGUCAUAAUGACCGUCGUGGGCUGGAAGUGCGUGGAUCGUAGAUGCCCGUCGCUCUCCAACUCUGCGAGCCCGGUCCGUCCGGCCGCGUGUUAUCGAAGCUUGACCUCAAAUCAGGUAGGACUACCCGCUGAACUUAA
RNAcentral lists this unclassified non-coding RNA (338 nucleotides) under uncultured Scleroderma. Its description in RNAcentral is "sequence contains ITS2". The stretch from base 1 to 52 matches the Rfam family "5.8S ribosomal RNA", at positions 103 to 154 of the family's 154-position model. Lineage: Eukaryota; Fungi; Basidiomycota; Agaricomycetes; Boletales; Sclerodermataceae. The record is from RNAcentral.